Molecule: long non-coding RNA, 2288 nt
Organism: Alexandromys fortis (reed vole)
Lineage: Eukaryota; Metazoa; Chordata; Mammalia; Rodentia; Cricetidae
Exons: 5
Source: RefSeq, a predicted model, not a curated record
AAUGUUUGCUGCGACAGAAAAAUAUGAAAGUGAAAGUAGAUGGCAGUAAAUGAUUUAGUUUACAUAGGACCAGAAUCCAAUUAUCAAAAGCGAAAUCAUUAUGAGGUGUGGUCCGGCAGAAAAAAUAAAAGUGAAAGUGGAUGACAGGAAAAAAUGCAGUUUAUCUCAGACCAGAAUCCAAUUAUCAAAGAGGAAACCAUUGCAAGAAAAAUGACGAGAAUGAUCUCAAUUCCACCAAUAAGAACAAAGCCUGUGGUUACCUUGGAGAUCUGCUUCAGAGCUGCUGACUCAUUACUCCCUCCCAUCUCAAUGUUUGCUGCGACAGAAAAAUAUGAAAGUGAAAGUAGAUGACAGGAAAUAAUGUAGUUUACUUAGGACAAGAAUCCAAUUUCAAAAGGGAAAUCAUUAUGAGAUACUGCAGUGUUUCAAGACAGAGACAGUGGUACCACAAGAUUAAAGAGAAGGAAAAGUUUCAGAAACGGGGAUGGACAUGAUGAUUCAGAAAGAUGUCAAGAGCAGUCUGCCGUGUCUGGGACACAUUUGGAUUUCAGCUAUAAAUAUUUGCAGCUGCGAACUGGCGUAUAGCCAGAGCCUGACUAGGAAGAGCCCACUAUGCUGACAAUAUUAUUAGCUCUCCUUGCCUCGGAAUAAUCUGAAGGAGUGUGUGCAUUCACAAUUUCCCCGGAACAAUGACGAGAAUGAUCUCAGUUCCACCAAUAGGAACAAAGCCUGUGGUUACCUUGGAGAUCUGCGUCAGAGCUGCUGACACAUUUCUCCCUCCCAUCUCAAUAUUUGCUCUAGCAGAAAAAUAUGAAAGUGAAAGUAGAUGGCAGGAAAUAAUGUAGUUUAUUUACGACCAGAAUAGAAUUAUCAAAAGGGGAAAUCAUUAUGAGGAAAGUAGGAGGUGAUCACGUAUCUGAAUUCUUGGGUCUGUAUAUUGCCUAUCUAACUGAAAAUUUCCAUUUCUUCCUGCUGACGGCUGAUUGUGAUACUGUGCUGCCGAUUGCCGUUUAUUGGUAUCACAUUCAGAAAUGCCAUGUCAAAGUCGCUAAACACUUAUUACGGAAUCUUAAACUUGAAAUAUUCAGAUUCCAAGGUGCCUGAGGUAAUUUGCCAAUAUAGCAAUUAUCUUAAUGAGGUUUUCAAUGGCGCAUAAGAUCAGUACAUUUCAUUGUUGUCAUGUAUAGACUUUCUAUGAAAAUCAUCAUUUCAGAACAUAAUCUAAAGCUAACCUUGGAAUCGCAGAUUUCGCGGCUGAAUGCUUCAGACUCGAGGGCAUUUCCUGCACUGCAAACAGAAUCAGGUGACUCUCACAAAUUCCUUGCUUUUCCUAAAUUGCUUCUGUAUCCUGCAGGUCUCUGAGACACAUUUUCUUCUCUGGUGUUUUUUACAGUGAGGCUUUGACUAAAGUCCAGCUUUGAGCAGGGCUUUAGUCAAAGCCCCACUGGCAAAAUCUCUCAAUGCAGACCUUUUUAUGCCAUGUAGGAACCAAUAAGAAAAGAGAUCUCAUAACAAGGACCGGAAAGCACAAGACUGCAUUUAUCUUGAUGAUCUUCUCCAGAGCUGAUGAAUCAUCUGUGUCGCUCUCCUUACCUUGUAUUGUGAAAAGAAGCAGAGCAAUUGACAAAGGAACAGAGGAUAAAAUGUAAUUUACCCUGCAUUUUGCCUCCAAUUAACAGCCAACUAAACUGGUAAAAUGUAGCAGGAUGAGCCAGCUGGCAGAUGCUUUUCCCUUGAAUCUACCUAUACAUGGAAGCCUUCAUUCCUCUGUGAGGAUUUUUGAUUGUGAAUCUGUGCUGCCAAUGUAUCUGGCUUCUGAAUCUUUGUGAUUUUUUCUAUGUUUUUAGGUGUGGUUUUUAUGCACUCAAAUUAUAAUAAAUAUGUUACAUAUAAUAUGAUAUUAUGAAUUACAUAAAAAUAAAAAUGCAAUUAUGAUUUUUCAUGUAGUUUAAUUAUAAUACACAAUAUAUUUAAGUUCAUUAGAGGGCUAUACGAGGAAUUGGGGAGACUGUAGAAAGAAAUGUAGAUUUUAAACCUUCUCUCAUAUAGACCCAAGUGUAAUAUAGUAGCUCACAAUGUCAUAAUGAUAAAGAAAUGAAUUCAGUUUAAUUGUUUUCAGAAAAAAAUAAACAUAUUUAAAUUGGUAACAUUUGUGUCUGUUUGUUUUAAGGCUUAUAGGUAUUUGGUCAUUUACAUUUUCAUGAAGCAUCCUUCAUAUUUUUGUUUCUUGCAUGCAAGCAAUAUACAUAAUUAUCCUUUAAAUAAUAAUUCAUAAUUAUUUAUUUAAA